GCGCAAGAGGGCAAACCCAGUGCUUGCACUGGGGGUUGUAGGACUGCAAUGUGCAAGAGGUGAGUUUAGCAGAACAUUCUGGAAAGUAUAGCCAUAGAGGGUGAUAGUCCCGUAUGCGAAAAACAAACCUUAGCUAGCAGUAUCCUGAGUAGGGCGGGACACGAGAAAUCCUGUCUGAAGCUGGGUCGACCACGAUCCAACCCUAAAUACUAAUACCAGAUCGAUAGUGCACAAGUACCGUGAGGGAAAGGUGAAAAGAACUGAGGUGAUCAGAGUGAAAUAGAACCUGAAACCAUUUGCUUACAAUCAUUCAGAGCCCUAUGUAGCAAUACAGGGUGAUGGACUGCCUUUUGCAUAAUGAGCCUGCGAGUUGUGGUGUCUGGCAAGGUUAAGCAAACGCGAAGCCGUAGCGAAAGCGAGUCUGAAUAGGGCGCUUAGUCAGAUGCUGCAGACCCGAAACGAAGUGAUCUAUCCAUGAGCAAGUUGAAGCUAGUGUAAGAACUAGUGGAGGACUGAACCCAUAGGCGUUGAAAAGCCCCGGGAUGACUUGUGGAUAGGGGUGAAAGGCCAAUCAAACUUCGUGAUAGCUGGUUCUCUCCGAAAUAUAUUUAGGUAUAGCGUUGUGUCGUAAUAUAAGGGGGUAGAGCACUGAAUGGGCUAGGGCAUACACCAAUGUACCAAACCCUAUCAAACUCCGAAUACCUUAUAUGUAAUCACAGCAGUCAGGCGGCGAGUGAUAAAAUCCGUCGUCAAGAGGGAAACAACCCAGACUACCAGCUAAGGUCCCUAAAUCUUACUUAAGUGGAAAACGAUGUGAAGUUACUUAAACAACCAGGAGGUUGGCUUAGAAGCAGCCAUCCUUUAAAGAAAGCGUAAUAGCUCACUGGUCUAGUGAUUUUGCGCGGAAAAUAUAACGGGGCUAAAGUAAGUACCGAAGCUGUAGACUUGCACACAACUUAGAUUAUUUAAGUUUAGAAUAUGAGAAACUAAGUUAUAUGUUUAGUUAUAUUUUUACUGAUUUUUAUAGAGUAAAGAUAGAAAUAAAACUUAGUAAAAUCAGUAAAAAUAUUCUUAGACUAAAGUUAAGUAGUUUAAGUUGUGUGCAAGUGGUAGGAGAGCGUUCUAUUUGCGUCGAAGGUAUACCGGUAAGGAGUGCUGGAGCGAAUAGAAGUGAGCAUGCAGGCAUGAGUAGCGAUAAUUAAUGUGAGAAUCAUUAACGCCGUAAACCCAAGGUUUCCUACGCGAUGCUCGUCAUCGUAGGGUUAGUCGGGUCCUAAGUCGAGUCCGAAAGGGGUAGACGAUGGCAAAUUGGUUAAUAUUCCAAUACCAACAUUAGUGUGCGAUGGAAGGACGCUUAGGGCUAAGGGGGCUAGCGGAUGGAAGUGCUAGUCUAAGGUCGUAGGAGGUUAUACAGGCAAAUCCGUAUAACAAUACUCCGAGAACUGAAAGGCUUUUUGAAGUCUUCGGAUGGAUAGAAGAACCCCUGAUGCCGUCGAGCCAAGAAAAGUUUCUAAGUUUAGCUAAUGUUGCCCGUACCGUAAACCGACACAGGUGGGUGGGAUGAGUAUUCUAAGGCGCGUGGAAGAACUCUCUUUAAGGAACUCUGCAAAAUAGCACCGUAUCUUCGGUAUAAGGUGUGGUUCGCUUCGUAUUAGGAUUUACUCCGAAAGCGAAGAAACUUACAACAAAGAGUCCCUCCCGACUGUUUACCAAAAACACAGCACUCUGCUAACUCGUAAGAGGAUGUAUAGGGUGUGACGCCUGCCCGGUGCUCGAAGGUUAAUUGAUGGGGUUAGCAUUAGCGAAGCUCUUGAUCGAAG
Molecule: ribosomal RNA, 1820 nt
Filed under: Salmonella enterica subsp. enterica serovar Mississippi
Lineage: Bacteria; Pseudomonadati; Pseudomonadota; Gammaproteobacteria; Enterobacterales; Enterobacteriaceae
Description: partial 23S ribosomal RNA
Rfam family: Bacterial large subunit ribosomal RNA
Source: RNAcentral